UAGGGAAUCUUCCGCAAUGGGCGAAAGCCUGACGGAGCAACGCCGCGUGAGUGAUGAAGGUCUUCGGAUCGUAAAACUCUGUUAUUAGGGAAGAACAAAUGUGUAAGUAACUAUGCACGUCUUGACGGUACCUAAUCAGAAAGCCACGGCUAACUACGUGCCAGCAGCCGCGGUAAUACGUAGGUGGCAAGCGUUAUCCGGAAUUAUUGGGCGUAAAGCGCGCGUAGGCGGUUUUUUAAGUCUUAUGUGAAAGCCCACGACUCAACCGUGAAGGGUCAUUGGAAACUGGAAAACUUGAGUGCAGAAGAGGAAAGUGGAAUUCCAUGUGUAGCGGUGAAAUGCGCAGAGAUAUGGAGGAACACCAGUGGCGAAGGCGACUUUCUGGUCUGUAACUGACGCUGAUGUGCGAAAGCGUGGGGAUCAAACAGG
Molecule: ribosomal RNA, 429 nt
Filed under: Actinomycetes bacterium
Lineage: Bacteria; Bacillati; Actinomycetota; Actinomycetes
Description: Actinobacteria bacterium partial 16S ribosomal RNA
Rfam family: Bacterial small subunit ribosomal RNA
Source: RNAcentral